This 110-nucleotide transfer RNA is filed under the name Nitrososphaerota archaeon. RNAcentral's name for it is "Thaumarchaeota archaeon tRNA-Arg". It matches the Rfam family "tRNA". From Rfam's summary of the family: Transfer RNA (tRNA) molecules are approximately 80 nucleotides in length. Their secondary structure includes four short double-helical elements and three loops (D, anti-codon, and T loops). The record is from RNAcentral. Lineage: Archaea; Thermoproteati; Nitrososphaerota.
GGGCCCGUAGCCUAGUGAGACCAUCGCGGGAUGGCAACCUCACUUCAAACACGGAUCAGGGCGUCAGCCUCCGAAGCUGAAGACCGAGGGUCCGAAUCCCUCCGGGCCCG